This 488-nucleotide ribosomal RNA is filed under the name uncultured Bacteroidales bacterium. RNAcentral describes it as "bacterial SSU rRNA". It matches the Rfam family "Bacterial small subunit ribosomal RNA", at positions 28 to 505 of the family's 1533-position model. The record is from RNAcentral. Lineage: Bacteria; Pseudomonadati; Bacteroidota; Bacteroidia; Bacteroidales.
GAUGAACGCUAGCGACAGGCCUAACACAUGCAAGUCGAGGGGUAACAAGUAAAAAGCUUGCUUUUUAUGUUGACGACCGGCGCACGGGUGAGUAACACGUAUGCAACCUGCCUUUUACAGGGGAAUAGCCCAGAGAAAUUUGGAUUAAUGCCCCAUAACAUUUAUCAUUCGCAUGUUUGAUAAAUUAAAGCUCCGGCGGUAAAAGAUGGGCAUGCGUUCUAUUAGUUAGUUGGUGAGGUAACGGCUCACCAAGGCGACGAUAGAUAGGGGUUCUGAGAGGAUAGUCCCCCACACUGGUACUGAGACACGGACCAGACUCCUACGGGAGGCAGCAGUGAGGAAUAUUGGUCAAUGGCCGCAAGGCUGAACCAGCCAUGUCGCGUGAAGGACGACGGCCCUAUGGGUUGUAAACUUCUUUUGUAUGGGAAGAAAAGUAGGCACGAGUGCUUAUCUGCCGGUACCAUACGAAUAAGGAUCGGCUAACUCCG